GCUUAGGCUGAAACUCGCCUACAUGAAGCUGGAGUUACUAGUAAUCGCAGAUCAGAAUGCUGCGGUGAAUGCGUUCCCGGGUCUUGUACACACCGCCCGUCACACCACGGAAGUUGGGGGCGCCCGAAGCCGGAUAGCUAACCUUUUGGAAGCGUCCGUCGAAGGUGAAAUCAAUAACUGGGGUGAAGUCGUAACAAGGUAGCCGUAUCGGAAGGUGCGGCUGGAUCACCU
This 231-nucleotide ribosomal RNA is filed under the name uncultured bacterium. RNAcentral's name for it is "partial 16S ribosomal RNA". It matches the Rfam family "Bacterial small subunit ribosomal RNA", at positions 1298 to 1528 of the family's 1533-position model. The record is from RNAcentral.